RNAcentral lists this long non-coding RNA (16349 nucleotides) under Lathyrus oleraceus (garden pea). Its description in RNAcentral is "Pisum sativum (pea) long non-coding RNA (PSAT_LNC032165)". The record is from RNAcentral. Lineage: Eukaryota; Viridiplantae; Streptophyta; Magnoliopsida; Fabales; Fabaceae.
UUAUAUAACACUUCUCUUGGUAAUAAAUGUGGGGGGAAUUCCUUGAUAUUAUUUUCAGUGAUGCUCAAGAGAGAAAAGAGUUUAUUUUUUUCUGUCGGAUCAUUAAAGGAUCCCACAAAAUUCAGAUGAAACAAAUUGUCUCCCAAAACAGUCAUUUCCUAAAUAUUUCAAAAACAACUAGUCACCCAAAUUAUUACAGAACAUGCUACAUUAAAGGACUCUCACAUAUUGCUGAUUUUCUUCAUGUAACGUUUGUGCACCUGUUCCAUCCAACAAAAUAAUAUGUUAUUUCACCUAAUAUUAAAAUAGUGUCACAAAAUAAGAUACAACUAUGCUGAUGGUAAUUCUGUUAGCAACAAUAUAUUGCCAGUAUGCUUUGCAAUCACAAUUUAGGAGGUAAUGUGAUUUUGCAUAUUGUUUAGUAUUAAUAGGGAAAGUUGUAUACAAGUAAUGAGAUUCCAGGUUUUCUUUUUGUCAAUUUAGUGGAAGGAGGAGAUUCCUUGUUAGGGGUGAAACCCUCUUUGGUUAGUUUUGUAGUAAAAUCUGUCCUAUAUCUAGAUUCUAUCAGUAAUCAUUAAUAAACUUUGUAGCAUUGAUGCUUCUGAUUAAAGGUGUGUCCACUAUCCGACAGAUGUUGGUAUUAUACACCGACACGACACUGACACAUGUUACCUUCAGUCACUUCUAUUUUUUCAAACUAUUACUAUCGUCUGUGUGUAUGGGUAUGUGUCUAUGUCAAUGCUACAGAUGAUAAAUCAAGAAUUUUUUGGUUGAGCUCUAGAGUCCAAUGAUUUGGUUGGACCCACGGAAUGCCUUUGAGUUUGACAAGGAUGGACUCAAGCAGAAAGACUGGCGAAACAUGGAAGACAUGAAUGCCAAGAUGCAAAGUUUGAAUUAUACCACGAGGAUCAAAUGUGAGAUUUUGGAGAAAUGAGCGAGAAACUUGACAGUGUGGAUGGCAUUCUUCAAUUUUUGAAGGAUUUAGCUUAGCGAAAUGAGGCUAGCUUGCACAAAGUUCUAACAAUGUUUGAAAUAAUUAAACGCAUGAUCAAAGGAAUUUUGAUGAUCAAAGGCAUUUUGAUCUUGAUUAAGUGAACCUUAAAGAUGAUAUUCCAAAUGAGUAUAAGAAGGCUUUUUAGAAAGAUUAAUUGCCUAAAUUUGAUUUAAAUGGUUCUGAUGGGUGGCUAGCUAAGGCUGCAAAAGAUAUUUGAGAUCCAAAUUAUCAAAGGGGUAAAGGUUUAAUUGGCCUUCAUAUGUAUGGAAGGCAGUGUUAUCUAUGGCGGAUCGCGGACAUCCGAAAACCCACCAGAAUGUCUUGGUGCUAUCAUCUUUCACAAAUUGCCCAUGGCUGUUGUCUUAAAAUCUGCCACCAUAAUCCACUAUGGCUGAUGGAAGUAACUGCUAUUCAUAGAGGUAGGUAUUAAAAGAGAGACGGAAAAAUUGAAAAAAGAAACAAAAACCAUACAGAAACUACAAGAUUAAGAACCAAUGAGUUCAAGAGAAGUAUGGAAUAGUACUUGGUAAGAAGAAGCGAAAUGGAGGCACUAUAGUUGUCGAGUUUGUAUAAUCUUUGAUCACAUGAGAAGAAAACCAAUGGAGGCACUAUAGUAGUCGAGUUUGCAUAAUCUUUGAUCACAUGAGAAGAAAACCAAUGGAGGCUCGAAUAACAAUGAGAUCAAAUAGAAGACAGUGUAAUUAGAACUAGAAGGGUAAACCAAUAGACGGCAUGGUAUGAUUAGACGAAUUUUUUCAAAACAAAAUGGUUUGGUUUUUGAUUGACCCCAACACACUCAAUUCACUCAUGCAGCUAAUCCUGCCAAAUAAAACAAAACAUGGCUGUAAUUUCUGUAUUGCUUCUGCACCACUAACAGAAUUAUCACAGGGAAGCCCUAUGGUCGUUGCAUUCUUUGAAAACAAUAAAUACUAAACAUUCUUUAUUGAUAAAAUGCAUCCCAGUACAUAAUUGGCCCCUCUUCAACUGAAAAUUUUCUUAGUAAUUUUUUUUUAAGGCUUAGUAUUCGGCCUUGCGACUGACUAAUCCAAGGGAAUCAAUCCCACCGUCCACUUGUGGAACCCCAUUUAAAGCCAAAGCAAAGUUUUGUAUGAACUAACCCAAGACAAGAAUUAUUUGCACCUAGCAGGAUUCGAACCUGAGACCUUGAGAGGAGUACACUAUCAGUACCCAAGCCUUCACCAACAGGCCAACCCCAGAGGUUUUCUCCAUACAGAAUUACCUGCUGCUCUGAGCUAAUAUGUUUCAAAAUGCUUUUAAUUACUUCCAUAAGUCAAGAAUUCCCAACAUUUUCUCUCAAAUAAAUAUACAAAACCUGUUAACAUAUCUUCAACCCUAUACCAUACAAGUAAAAUCCCACAUUUCUGCCAAAUGAAUGAUAAAAACAGUAAAGACAUAAAGAGAAAGAAAGCACUGAAAACAUAAAGUUAUAGAACUAGAAACCCUCAAAUUCUCCCCUAAAUACAACAUGCAACCAAAUUUAAGGCUUCAAAUACAUCAAAUUAAAUGCAUCAAUACUAAUCUCAAAAUGAUAUUCUUCACCGUCGUAUAAACUACACAAAAGACCAGAAAACUCAUACUAAAGAACUCGUAAGAGUCAGAAACAAAGCAGCAGCAAUAGUGAUGAAAUCUACAUCAACCUGAAAUUCUAGAAUUGUACAACACCAAUCUCCUAUAUCAACAACAUUUCAAAACAAUCCUAAUAUCACUAUUAACCUGAAACGAUCUUACGAUUUCAGUACCAAAUUCGAUAUUUCUUCAUUUCACAAACUAGAUCGGUGAUUCAAUUUAACAGUGAAAUCGUAGAAUCAAACAGAAUGCAUUAUUGAAGAAAUGGUUUACCUAAUUGCCAGUGGCGGAGGCGUGUUUGUCGGCGUAAUUAGGAGGAGAGUAGACGAGCGCAGCCACCAUGGCUCCCGGUAACACGCCGUAUCUCGCCAACGCUGCAACUUUGGUGACCACUGCUUUUCCCUUCAUGAACGCCAUAGCCGAAACUUCACGGAAUCAGAUAGAUCGGGUUUUCUGUUUUGAUAGAUGAAAAUCGGAUUAUGAAGAAGACGAGAAUUUUUAUUUUUAUAUUUUUUUUUGGUAGAAAAAAAGUGAGAUUUUGAAUAGAAUAUUGAUUAAGAUUUUAUUGGGCUUAAACUUUAGAAAAGUAAGAGAAAUUAAUUUGAACCCAAUGUACUUAUAUUUCCACCCCAAAUUCAAAUUGAUCGUUUUAAUUAACUUGAAGUGAAAGUUUUUAAAUUUUGGAUUUAAUGGGGAUGCAUUUAUAUUGUAAAAAAAUUUAUACUAUUGUCCAAUAAAAAUAUAUUAUUUUAUUAUAUUAUAUAAAUAAUUUAAAAUUUUUAAUCAGAUUUAACGAAAUACAUUAUUGUCAUUGGUUGACUGUGUAAAAUUAAUUUAUAAUAGUCGUGCAUCAUCAAUUUUCUCUUAAAUUUUUACUAAUUAAUACAAAAAAAAUUAUUAAAAAUAGCAGUAAAUAAAUUUCUACAAUAAAGAAGUUGCUUCCAAUAUAUUUAUAGGGUAGUGAGAGACAAGAUAUUUGUGUUUUAAAUGUACAUGUAAAAUAAUUUAUAGUUAAGAAGAUAUUAUAAAUAUUUACAAAAAAAAGAUUUUUUGUAAAAAUAUUAUUGGGUGUAGAUUAAUCGUGGUGGAUGAAUGAAGCGUGUUAAUAUUGGGUUUGAUGUUAAUAAUACAUCCUAAGCAAUGAAGCGCUUAAAGAGUGUGGUGAAUAGUUUGACUGGGUGAAUGAUAUAGUUAGUGAUGAAUUUAGAAAAGUUUGUUAGUUAGUUACUUUGAUGUUUAAGAGUUUAUUAAUUAAUCCAGAAAUCAUUUAACUAUAUAUAGUUUAAUGUUGUCUUCCAUUCAAAUUAAUGCAUGAGUUCUAAACCAUUACUUAUGACUCAAACUUUAUUCUUUGAUUUUCUAUUUUUUGAUUUUGCUCUUUUGUUUCUUUGUUACUUGCAUUGCACGUAACAGCUUUGUUGCGUCAUUAGUUGACAUCUAGAGCCUGGUUGCUAAACAUCAAAGGAUUGGUGUUGAUUCAUAGGAAAACUUUAGUGAUUUUGUGAGGGAAACACUUGGGAAACAUUGAGGGAAGAGUGAAUUAAAAUGUUUCUUGCAAUAGAAGCAAGAUGAAUGCAAAUUGUGGUUUUUCAUCCAAUAUCCUGAUUCUUGAUGGAAGCAACUGGGUAAGGUGGAAUGUAUUAAUGAAAUCAUUAUUUGGAACACAAGAUGUGAUUGAAAUUAUGCAAGAUGGCUAUGAAGAAUUAGGUGAAGAUAUUAUUAAUGCACAAAGAACCACUUUCAAAGAAUUAAGAAAGAAGGAUUAUAAGACAUUAUUUUACACUCAAUAGAAUGUGGAUUCUUACUACAUUGAGAAGAACUUGAAAGCCACCAGAUCGAAGGAAGCAUGAGAUAUGUUAGAAAAUUACCAUAAGGGUGGAGAAAAGGUGAAACAACUGAAGCCAUAGCCACUAAGGGAAAAAAAAAAGCUUAUGCAAAUGGAAGAGAAUCAGAAAAUUAGUGAUUAUUUCUCAAAGUUUAUUACUUUGGUGAAUCAGAUGAAGACAUGUGGUGUAUAGUUCAUUAGAAGAACAUGAAUUUAUGGUGAUUGAUAGAGGCGCUGAAAGACAAGGCUAACGAGUGAUGAAAAAGAAUGGAAAUGAAAAGAACGUCAAAAAGAAAGGAACAUGGGGCUUCAAGAAUUCAAACUGGUUCAAUGUUGCUAGAUAAAAGUAUGAAGAAAAAGCUUAAUCCUUUAAGAGAGGAUGAGGAUCAAGAAAGAAUCAUACCAAAAAAAAGAUUUUUAUAAAAUCAAGAUGCAAUGAUGCAAUUGUGAAAAACAUGAUCACUUUGCAAAUGAUUGUUGGUAUCAAAAUGAAUGAGGAAAUAAAUGUAAAAAAAAAGAGAUGAAGAAGUCAAUAUAGCUCAUGAUGAUGGUUAUGAGUCUGAGAUAGUUUUACUUAUGGCUACCACAUGUGAAGGGAAUCCAAUGUGUGAGGAGUGGUACUUGGAUUCAAGAUACUCAAAUCACUUGACAAGAUGUAAGGAAUAGCUUACUAAUUUAGACUCAAGCAAGAAGAUUAAUGUAAAGCUUGCAAAUGACAAAUACCUUGGAGCAGCAAGUAUUGGUGAUAUAGUGAUCAAAAGUAAGAAUGGAAAGGGUGUUUUGGAUGAAACGCAAUAUGCAAAGCAUAGAAUAAUUGGUGGGAAAAGUCUUCUCAAUAACAAUGAUUGAAGAUGCACUUCAACAGUUUGUUAAAAGUUAAAAGUUGAUUUUGAGUUCUUAAUUGUCAAAAUAUAGAACUUUUAAAUGCAAUAUUCAAACUACAAAAGAAGUAUGUCUUACAAGCAUUAAGGAACCAUAAUGGCUCUGGCACACAAGGUGUGAACAUCUAAAUUCUAGAAGUUUACGUAAGUUAAAAUCUAAGAAUCUAGUGCUUGGUAUACCAAAAUUGAGUGAAAGAAUUAUGACUUGUGAAGUUUGUUUAAGGACUAAGAAAAAUAGAGAACCCCUUGGUGCAGAAAUUCCUAAGAGGUCAAUAUAUGCUUUUGAAAUUAUGCAUUAUAAUAUAUGUAGUCCUCUUAAAGUACAACCAUUAGGAGGUAGCAGAUACUUCAUCACCUUUGUGAUGAACACACAAGAAUAAUGUCUAACCUUGUGCAUGUGUAACCAGUGUCACAACACAGGGCCUCAUAUGUGUGGUGGGCCUCAAAAUAAAAAUAUAUUAUAGUAUGUGAUCCCUAUACUAUGAUUAGUAUUUGUGCAAUAUCACAUCAGUCUAAAUAAAACAAUGUGUGACUAUUAUUUUAAGACAAGCUCGUCAUUUUGAAAGAGUGUCAAUUCAUUAUUUGUUUUGGUUGUUUUAGUUUUAUAUUCACAAGUGUUAUUCAUCAUUUUAAAACUAUUCCAAUUAACCAUGACACUAUUUCUUCAACUGACAACAUUAUCAUGAAAGCAUCUAGUGUAUAUCCAAUUUACUUAAUUUUAUAAAUCAUUUUAAAGCAAAUAUCUUACACUAUUAUUUUAUACACUGCAUCAAUUCAUUUUAUUUUAUAGUGAUUUGGUAUUUUUUAAUGUAUUCUUUAAAUUUUAUUUUAUAAUAAUAUAUUAAAAAGUUUAGUAAACUUAAAAUUAUUUUAAUUAAAUCGUUAUGAUUAAAUAAAUAAUAAAUUAAAUUGUUAAAUUUAAAAAGUGUUUGAUUAAUUUGACUUAAUCUAGUCUAAUAUAUGAAAUGUAGUUCGAUUGGUUUAUAUAAUUGAGUUAAUAAUUUAACGGAGGUGAAUGUACAUAGUUAAAUUCAUAACACUAGUCUAAUGUAGUAAUUAUAUAAUCAUAAUUUUUUUAUCAAAUAGUAUAGUAGUUGAGAAUUUCACUUUUAAAUAUAAAUAAGUGAGAUGUCGCAGAUUUGAAUUCACGUCCAUGCAUUUUAUAUCUUUGUACAACUAUUCUAUUAUAUCAAUUACUAAUAAAAGUUUUAUGUAAUUUUUAAAGAGAAAUUUUAGUAUAUAUGUUAUACUUUAUUUUAUUAGCGGACUCUUAUAAAACUCAGAACAUGACCUCCAAUUUGUUUGGGUCAGCCCUGACAAGAAUGUUAUGGCUCUACACCAUUAAGUUCAAAAGUGAAGCAUUUUAAGUUUUCAAAAAAUUUAAAGUCUUGGUUGAGAAGGAGAGUGACAAAGAAAUUAAGGUAUUGAGGACAUAUGGAGGUGGAGAAUAUACUUCAAAUAAGUUUGAAGCAUAUUGACUUAGCAAAAUCAUAAUGCAUAAAGUGACCUCACCCUACACAGAAUGGUACAAUGGUAUUGCAGAAAGGAGAAACAUGACCAUUUUUGAUAUGGCAAGAAGCAUGUUAAAGCACAAAAACCCGACACAUGUGUUUUAGGGUGAGGCGGUCAAUACAAGAACUUAUAUUAAUAAAUUUCCCACCAAAAAGUUGAAGAUGAAGGUGCCAAAGAGAAGUUUGGUGUGCAAGAAAUCCAUCUAUAAAGCAUUUAAAAGUGUUUGGAUCAGUCUGCUUCAAACACAUCCAUGGUCAAAAAAGGACUAAGAUUCAAGACAAAAGUAUGAAAAUGAUAUCCAUAUGAUACCAUUCAAUAGGUCCCUACAAAUUGUAUAAUCUAUUAACAAAAAGUAGACAUCAAUAGAGAUGUGAUAUCUGAUUAAUCAGAUACUUGGAAAUGGCAGACUUAAUGCACAAGAGAAAGUGAGGACAUAAAAAUAUUUGUAGAACAUGAUUAUAAUGCCAAUUUUUAUGAUGAAAUAAAUUGUGAAGGCAUUGAAACUGAUGAAACUACACACGUGGAAUCUCAUACUCACAAGAGGCCACAAAGGAGAAGGCAAGUCCCUAUAAUACUUGUAUUGAUAAAAAAAGUACAAGGUGUGUGUGUUCCAUCUGCAGAUGUAUUAUAAUUUGGGUAGUGAGGGAUUACUCACGGCGUCGAGAAUCCAUGUAUGGUGGCUUUUUAGGCUGUUUAAGGGAUCAACUUGCGUGAGGUAAAAGGCCAUAUUAGUGGCCGAUGUUGCUGGGUUGCAAGUGGGGGUUAGGUUGAUGUUGUGUUAAGGUUACUAUGAACAUAGUUCUCUUUGAGUAGUGGUAAAUGUGUAUGACUUGAGAAUCCCUUAUCCUCUUAAGAGAUACAGUAUUUAUGUGAGUCCCUUCCGCGAAGGAUUUUUACCUCCUAGACGUAGUCUUAACUGUUCCCCACUUUCUAUGGGAGGUUAUCAGCCGCAUAUCUUCUCAGAGUCAGCAAGGAUUUUCUCUCAAUUGAUUCCCACAUAAGUGGGAUCUCUUGCGCGACUCCCUUGGAUUAUUUUCUAACUUCAUUCAUUGGAAUAUCAAUUCCAUCCUAUAGAAUAUCCCACAACUCAUCAUCAAGGUCUAUAAUAUGAGUAUACAUCUUUAAAUUCCACCAUUCGAAAUCUGUAAAGUCUCCACUGAAAGUUGAAGGUCUAGCUGUAUAUUUUUUCUUUUCUAUAUUGCUAUAAUCAUGAUUUAUAGUAGCACGUGGAAUAGUAAUACCACUUUAUGAUCUAUAAAUAAUAGACAUGUUUCAAUAUAUUUUUCUCAAGAUCUUUUAUGUACCGAUGUUAAGUUUUAAGCACAAACCGUACUCUGAUGCCAAUUGAAGGUGAGAAAAAUACAAGAAGGGGGAUUGAAUUGUGUUGGUUAUUUCUUUAUUUUUGAAAUUCUUAAGUCAUAUUCUAAACUCAAUGUUAUAGAAUUUGAGUUAGUUAGAGAUAGGCAGCAGAUAUAAAGUGCAAGAAAGAAUAAACAACACACGAAGUUAUCCUGAUUCCUCUCAUAAAUCGAGAGUAAUUCAGUCCCCUUGUACUUACAAGAUAUUUUCACUAUAAUGGCAUAAGAUUGCAAUUUUUUCAAGCACAAAAGCAAGAGACUUAUUUGCUUACACACACAAGUAUAAGACUUCCUUGCUUAAACACACAAGUCUAAGACUUCAUUAUUCAAACACACAAGUCUGAGACUUUAUUGCUCAAACACACGACUAUGAAACUUCCUUUCUCACACAUAAAAGUAUGAGACUUCAUUGCUCAAAUACACAAGUCUGAGACUUUCUUUCUCUCACACAAGUAUGAGACUUCAUUGCUCAAACACACAAGUCUGAGACUUCCUUUCUCACACAUACAAGUAUGAAACUUUAUUGCUCAAACACACAAGUUUGAGACUUCCUUGCUCUUUACUGAAGGCCAUCAUCCGACUAUCCUCCUUUUGAGAGUUCCCUUUGAAGGAUUGUUCGAUCGUCAAAUACCAAUCGUUACAUAAGCAUUGUACAAACUCUUUCCCCAUUGGUUGCCUUCUUUUCCAAUGGACAUGACUUCAAUUACUUUUCUCAGGGAUGUCUCAUAUUUCUAGGGACACUGCUUCCUCUUAAGUGAGUUUUUUAGGUUUCAGGGUUUCCCAUUCCCUCCCCUAUUUUUUCCUUCCUCCUUCCCAGGUGUACUUGGUCAAGCUUCCCUUAUUUAUCAACUCUUCAAUGGAGUCCUUCAACUGGAUAUCAUCAUUAGUGUUAUGAUCGUGACUUUUGUGGAAACAAAAGUAUUUCUAUUUUUUAUCCUAUUGGACUCUUUAAGCAAAUAUGGAAGCUUAAUGUUGGCCUCUUUAAAUUUGUACUGGCACACUCAUACCAAAUAUUUCCUUUGGAAGUGUUCAAAGGGGUAUAAGAGGAACCUCUCGAUCGAGACCCCUGCUCACAGUCAUCUCUUCAACGGUUAGUAUAUUUCUCAGUGUAUUUAUCAUACUCGUGGUUUUUACCUGAGACCCCAUGACCAUCUAGGAGCUUUCCCCCCCCCCCCCCCCCNNNCCCCAAAUUAUGUUUGACCGAGCCUAGUUCAGCAAUCCGUUCAUGUUGUUCGCCUAUUCUAGCCCCAAAUUCUCAUGAAACUUACCAUCCUAUCUCAAGCCCUUAUUAAAGAUCCAAGACUUUAAGUCGUAUUCUCCAUCUUCUAACACUACAUCCACUCUGGUGAACUUGACAAUGUAUUCCGGCAAGGUUUCUUUCUUGCCUUAUGUAAUUCCACUAAGUAUCGCCAUUAUGGUUGGUUGUUUCUUCUGGGCGGUAAAUUGAGAGGUGUACACAUCAGAAAGGUCACCCUACGAGUUUAUAAUCCCGUCCAAGAGAAACUUGUACCACUUCAUGUUAGUUUGUGUUAGGAUUAGUGCAAAGAGUUUUCACUUGACAAGUCCUUCAACGUGAUAAUAAUCUAAUUGAUUAUCAAAAUGCUCGAUAUGCACGUCAGGAUCCUUGUUCCCAUUGUAGUCAGUUGGAUUUAGAGGGUACUCGCAUGUUCUCAGUAUUCUACUGUCAAGAAUAUGAGAGGACAAAGGGUUUCUCAUUCGCUCGGCCAUUAGAGAAACUACUUAAGAUCUUUUCCUCUCUUAUGUAUCGGGAGCCAAGGAACGGGUUAGAUGAGGAGCUUUUGAUAAACGUGGUUUCCGCUUCUCUCUAACGAGUCGAGGGAGGAGUCUGGUGCUUGUCGCUCCUGCGAGGCCGAAGAGAAAGUGGAACUUAUUCAUGUACCAUAGAUGCCUUGGCCGAAGUUGGAUAUGGAACAACUACAAAAUGAUCCUGAGAAGUUGUCUUACGCACAGUGCUUCCCUGAGGAGGAUAAAGUUGUAUGUUUCCUCCAAUUUUAUAAUCCCCUCAGUCAAAAUUUGGGAAUUCUUUUGCUGCAUCAUAUUGUACAUGGUAUUCAUCAUAUUAGUUGUUCCUCGUAUGCCUAAGUUUGCUUGCAAUAUCUGGAGCCCGAUGAACAUCUUCGGUGUGCAACCAUCAAAGCUUGAGGUAGAGGUCGAUUAGAAAGUACGGCGAGACAAGGGACUAAUUAGGUUGAAAAUCCGGGAGAGGUGGAAAUAUUCCUUAAACAACUCUUUGAGGAAUUACAUUUAAGUCAGUUGGAUUUGAUGGUGAAAUUACCAACACUGGAUCAUUCAAUCUUAGAGAAAGAGGAAUAUGAGGAUUCUUUUGCUUGCUUCUGCCACUGCAGCGACGACAACCUAGGCAGAUCUAGUAGACUUGGAAUCAUCCAUAAUAAGAGUUGACGAAUUUUAGAUUUCUGGUGAAGAGAUCAAUAACUCAACGACCGAAGAUCUGAGAUCUGAAUCUUUGACGUAAGAAUGAAGGUUUCUUGCCGAAUUUCAUAGAAAUCAAAAGUCAAUUCCCAUAUACCACAUCUUUAUUCCGUGAGGGAACAAAAAAUGUGAGAUGGAUCAGUGAUUUGAUUUUCAAUGCAGUGAGUUGAGCUUUCUGAUACGAAGGAGAGAGGUGUGCCUGCAAGAUUAUCACUCUUUCAAGUCAGUGAGAGAAUGAGAAAUAAUAUUACCUGUAAAAUGACAUCUUUUUUCUUUAUAUAAUAAAUAGUGGCGGAGCCAGAUAAAAAAAAUUGGGAUGGCCACUAACGUAAAAUAAAGAUUAUAAAUAAAAUGUAAAUAGUAUUUUAAAUAAAACAUUAAAGUUAAAAUAAAUACAAAGUUAAUUACUAAAAAUUUAAAUUACAUGACUUAAAACUAAUUGGAGUUGAAAUUGAAAAUUAUUCUUCUCUUGAUCACUAAAAUCCAUAGGAUAAUAUUUUUCAACUAAAGAACAAAUAGUAUCAAUGCUAAAAGCUUUAUAUCCAUCCUUAGGAGAUAAAGAACAAGAAAGAGUUCACAAAUCCAUUGCCUGCUCACUGAAUCUGCUAUUCAACUCUUGUAACUGUUUGUCAAUGGUAGUGAAAAAGAUUUCAACUUUAAAGUAAUGCUGAAUUGUGACUUGAUUCUCUUCAAGACGGGAGCGUCCAAAUCUUAUUGUUGAAUGAACAUCAUUAAGAUCAGGAAUCUCAAUACCAUGCUUUUCACAAAAAGAUACCACUUUAGUAAACAAUAUAUCUCAACCAUUUUCUCUCAAACGUUGAAUAAGAUGUUUUGUUGAACGAACCAAGUUCAUAACAUUAACUACAUCUUGAUUUUUUUUGUAAGGCUUGACAAAGCAUAUCUGUUAUUCCCAUGAUUUCUUUCAUCAAGUGAAAAAUAAAUAUAAAAUCAAAUGCCUUCAAGUAUUGUAAAAACUAUCUGCAUCCCCACGUGUAGCAUAACUCCCUCUAUCUUUUGCAAUUUUUUAAAAAACUAAACAAGUUGCUUCAUACAUGUUUGUCAAGCUAGAAAUUGAAUCGUAAUGUGAUCCCCAACGAGUAUCUCCGGCUCGUUUCAAUGUACCAACUUGAUUUGCACCUUUACCAGUUACAAUCUCAUCAAUCUCUAACAAAUAAGCAAUUUCUUCAUCAAGCUAGAAAUUGAAUCGUAAUGUGAUCCCCAACGAGUAUCUCCGGCUCGUUUCAAUGUACCAACUUGAUUUGCACCUUUACCAGUUACAAUCUCAUCAAUCUCUAACAAAUAAGCAAUUUCUUCUAAUUGGGCAGUUUGUAACUCAUCAUGACGCUUUGUAGAAGAACAAACAACAUUCACAACAAAUAUCAGUUUCUCAAAAAAUUUAUGAACAAGUUUGACUUCUCUUGAUGAUGUAACUAAUGCAAGUUGCAAUCUAUGAGCAAAACAAUGAACAUAGUAUGCAUAAGGACAAUCCUUCAUAAAGAGGGCUUGUAAACCAUUCCAUUCUCCUCUCAUAUUGCUAGCACCAUCAUACCCUUGGCCACGAAUGUUAGAAAUAUUAAGGUUAUGUCAAGAAAGUAUAUCACAUAUUGCUUCCUUAAGAGUUAAAGACGUGGUGUCUUUAACAUGUGCCACAUCAAAAAAUCUCUCUUGUAUUAAACCAACUUUAUCAACAAAUCUUAAUACAAGAGCCAUUUGUGAUUUUUUGAUCUGAUAUGAUAUUAUAGGAAGAUAAAGAUGAAUAAUAGGAAAAUUGAUUCUUUUUUCAAAAGGAAAGCAUGUGAAAUUGAAAGAGAAGAGAGAGUAUGAAGAAAUUAUAAUCCCGAAUCCGAAUCUGAAACAGUUCUUGAGAAUCCAACAAUUGAAGAGCAUCAUGGUUUUGAAAUUCUUGGAACGCGGAUCCUGGAAAAGCGUCCUCCGAUUUGGCAAUAUCCACCCAAAUCAAGUGGAUGCAAUACGAAGAGCUUAUCUGAAAAUGCGGGGUCCAUAUCAAAUUCAUUUAGAAAACUAUCCUUUGUCCGAUAACGAGGAUCAUCCGAGCAGGUUUCAACAUACUUCGUUUAGCAUAUUUCCAUCAUGGUUAGAAAUUCACCAUCUGAAGAUGCUGCAUAUUGCUUAUCAUGUUUAACUUUUUCAAGCAAAAAACUAAAGUGGACGUCCCGGAUCACUUGUCUUUAUUUCUAUGCUUUUAGAAUUGGAAGAAAGUUAGGAAUGGAAAACAUUGUUCCUUUCUUAAACACAUAGGGAAGGAUCCUGCUCACCACACAACAAUGCAAUGAAAGUUUGUCAAGAUUGUUGAAUCAAGAUGGUCAUAUUAGAAAUGUUUAUUCAAGUGCAAGUUCAAGUCAAAGAAUGAAUAACCGGUUACGACUCAAGACUUCAAUUGACAACUGUUCGUUGGUUAACACUACAAGCUUGUGCUUUUAGGGGUCACGACGAAAGUAGCAAAUCAAGAAAUCAAGGUAACUUUCUUGAGUUAUUGAAAUUUUAGCAUCCUACAAUGAUGAAGUUGUAAAAGUUGUGUUGGACAAAUGCUCCACAAAAUUGCAAGUAUACUUCACAUCAAAAUUCAAAAAGAGCUCUUGCAAAUUCUUUCUAGUAGGGUGAAAAGAGUAUUCGUGAGGAAAUUGGUGAUUCCAAAUUUUGUAUCGUUGUUGAUGAAGCUCGUGAUGAGUCAAAAAAGGAACAAAUGGCUCUUGUAUUAAGAUUUGUUGAUAAAGUGUGGUUUAAUACAGAGAGAUUUUUUGAUGUGCACAUGUAAAGACACCACGUCUUUAAACUCUUAAGGAAGCCAAUAUCGUGAUAUACUUUCUUGACAUAAACCUUAAUAUUUCUAACAUUCGUGGCCAAGGGUAUGAUGGUGCUAGCAAUAUGAGAGGAGAAUGGAAUGGUUUACAAGCCCUCUUUAUGAAGGAUUGUCCUUAUGCAUACUAUGUUCAAUGUUUUGCUCAUAGAUUGCAACUUGCAUAGUUACAUCAUCAAGAGAAGUCAAACUGUUCUAAAUUUUUUGAGAAACUGAUAUUUGUUGUGAAUGUUGUUUGUUUCUUCUACAAAGCGUCAUGAAUGAGUUACAAACUGCCAAUUAGCAGAAAAUUGCUUAUUUGUUAGAGAUUGUGAGAUCUGUAACGCUGGUAAAGGUGCAAAUCAGUUGUUACAUGAAACGAGCCGGAGAUACUCGUUGGGGCUCACAUUACGAUUCAAUUUCUAGCUUGACAAACAUGUUAUGAAGCAACUUGUUUAGUUUUUUAAAAAAAAUUGGCAAAAGAUAGAGGGAGUUAUGCUACACGUCGGGGAUGCGUAUAGUUUUUUACAAUCUUGAAGGCAUUUGAUUUUAUAUUUAAUUUUUCACUUGAUGAAAGAAAUCAUGGGAAAACGAUAUGCUUUGUCAAGCCUUACAAAGAAAAAAAUCAGAUGUAAGUUAAUGUUAUGAACUUGGUUCGCUCAAACAAAACAUCUUAUUCAACGUCUUGAGAGAAAAUGCGGUUGAGGAUAUUUGUUUUACUAACCAGGCGGUAUCUUUUUUGUGAAAAGCAUGGUAUUGAGAUCCUGGAUCUAAUGAUGUUCAUUCACAAAGAUUUGGACGCUCCCGUCUUGAAGCGAAUCAAGUCCACAAUUCAGCAAUUACUUUUAAAGUUGAAAAUCUUUUUCACUACCACUUGACAAACAGUUACAAGAUUGAAUAGCAGAUUCAGUGGGCAGGCAAUGGAUUUGUUGAACUCUUUCUUGUUCUUUAUCUCCUAAGGAUGGAUAUAAAGCUAUUAGCAUUGAUUUACUAUUUGUUCUUUAGUUUGAAAAAAUAUUAUCCUAUGGAUUUUAGUGAUCAAGGAGUAUGAAUAAAUUUUCAAUUCAACUCCAACAUUUGCAUUUGUUGCUCGUCAAGCAUCAAACUUGAAUAAUUUAUCAACAUUCAAGCAACUAUGUUUCAUGUUUGUUGCAUCUGCGAGACAGGAUGAAAUUACUUCUUGAUUGAUAGAUACUCUUAAUCUUACUCAUGAACUCUUCCCGUUUCUCUACGGUCACAACUGGAGGUCUUUAUUCAGCAAUGAAAAUUAUUAGACUAAGUGAGAAACAAGAUGGAUGUGGGUUUCUUGGAGAUAGCAUGACAGUAUAAUAUGAAAAAAAAGGGAGAUUAGUGCAGAGCAUUUAGUUUCAGAGUCAAUUAUGACGAUAUUUCAUAGUCCACUCAGAACACGUAAACAUUACUUUAAAGGUAGUUUUAAGUCCAUGUAAUUUAAUUUUAGUAAUUAACUUUGUAUUUAUUGUUAACUUUAAUGUUUUAUUUAAAAUACUAUUUACAUUUAUUUAUAAUCUUUAUUUUACGAGUGGCCAGUCAUUUUUUUUAUCUGGCUCCGCACUAUUUAUUAUAUAAAGAAAAAAAGAUGUCAUUUACAGGUUAAUAUUAUUUCUCAUUCUCUCACUUGACUUGAAAGAGUGAUAAUCUUGCCAGGCACACCUCUCUCCUCGUAUCAAAAGCUCAACUCACUGCAUUUGAAAAUCAAUCACUGAUCCAUCUCAAUUUUUUGUUCCCUCAAACGGAAAUAAAGAUGUGGGUUAUAUGGGAAUUGACUUUGAUUCUAUGAAAUUCGGCAAGAACCAAUUCAUUCUUACGUCAAAGAUUGCAAUCUCAAUUCUUCGGUCGUUGAGUUAUUGAUCCUUCACAGCAAAAUCUAAAAUUUCGUAACAUCUUAUUAUGGAUGAUUUCCAGUCUACUAGAUCUGCCUAGGUUGUCGUCGCUGCAGUUGCAGAAGCAAGCAACAAGAAUCCUUCAUAUUCCUCUUUCCUAAGAUUGAAUGAUCCAGUGUUUGGUAAUUUCACCUUCAAAAUCCAACUGACUUAAAUGUAAUCUCAAAAGAGUGUUUAAGGAAUAUUUCCACCUCCUCACCGGAUUUUCAACUAAUUAGUCCCUUGUCUCGCCUGUACUUUCUAAUCGCCUCUACCUCAAGCUCUUGAUGAUUUGCACCCGAGAUGUUCAUCGGGCUCCAGAUAUCGCAAGACAAACUUAGGCAUACGAGGAACAACUAAUAUGAUGAAUACCAUGUACAAUAUGAUAGCAGCAAAGAAUUCCCAAAUUUUGACCUGAGGGAUUAUAAAUUGGAGAACAACAUACAACUUUAUCCUCCUCAGGGAAGCACUGUGCGUUAAGAAACAACUUCUCAGGGAUCAUUUUGUUAGUUGUUCCAUAUCCACUUCGGCCAAGGCAUCUAUGGUUACAGAAUAAGGUGUCCCACUUUUCUCUUCGGCCUCGCAGGAGCGACAAGCACCAGACUCCUCCUCUCGACUCGUUUAGAGGAAGCGGAAACCACGUUUAUCAAAGCUGCCUCAUCUAACCCGUUCCGUUGGCUCCCGAUACAUAAGAGAGAAAAAGAUCUUAAGUAGUUUCUCUAAUGGCCGAGUACAGAAUGAGAAACCCUUUGCCUCUCAUUCUUGACAGUAGAAAUACUGCGAACAAUGCGAGUACCCUCUAAAUCCACUGACUACAAUAGGGAACAAACGGAUCCGACGUGCAGAUCGAGCAUUUUGAUUAAUCAAUUAGAUAUUACGCACGCUUUGAAGGACUUGUCAAGUGGAAAACUCUUUGCACUAAUCCUAACACAAAUCAACACUAGUGAUGGUACAAUGUUUCUCUGGACGGGAUUUAUAAACUGCGUUAGGGGGUGACCUUUCUGAUGUGUACACCUCUCAAUUUACCGCCCAGAAGAAAACAACCAAACCAUACCUGGCGAUAC